Molecule: ribosomal RNA, 356 nt
Filed under: uncultured bacterium
Lineage: Bacteria
Description: bacterial SSU rRNA
Rfam family: Bacterial small subunit ribosomal RNA
Source: RNAcentral
AACGAACGCUGGCGGCAUGCCUAACACAUGCAAGUCGAACAAGACCUUCGGGUCUAGUGGCGCACGGGUGCGUAACACGUGGGAAUUUGCCUCGGGGUAUGGAAUAACUCAGGGAAACUUGAGCUAAUACCAUAUAAUGUCUUCGGACCAAAGAUUUAUCGCCCUGAGAUAAGCCCGCGUAGGAUUAGCUAGUUGGUGGGGUAAAGGCUCACCAAGGCGACGAUCCUUAGCUGGUCUGAGAGGAUGAUCAGCCACACUGGGACUGAGACACGGCCCAGACUCCUACGGGAGGCAGCAGUGGGGAAUAUUGGACAAUGGGCGAAAGCCUGAUCCAGCAAUGCCGCGUGAGUGAUGAA